This 1187-nucleotide long non-coding RNA is filed under the name Spirodela polyrhiza (greater duckweed). Its description in RNAcentral is "long non-coding RNA (SPOL_LNC000874)". Lineage: Eukaryota; Viridiplantae; Streptophyta; Magnoliopsida; Alismatales; Araceae. The record is from RNAcentral.
GGACGGCACCAUGGUUGCGCACGUAGUGGAGGGGGACGGGGGUGAUGAAGCCGUGGUGCAUGAGUCGCCUCAGCGGCGGCUCUGAGUUGAACGGGUGCUUCCCCGUCAGCCGGAUCAGGCUGGAGUUGCGCUCCACCCAUGCGUCGGCGGUGGCCUCGUCCCUCGCAUCCAGCGCCGACGGCUCAAUCUCUCCUGCCCCCGACGAGGCCUUCAAUGCCGCGAUGUACUCCUCGUAGUCGGAGUCCUCAUCGUCGGAGUCCUCCGGGUGGUGGUGGUGGCGGCGGCGGAAGGAGGCGGCGCCGCCGUUUGGGAAAGAAUCGCCGGCCCCGGAGACGAAGGGGGAGGCCACCUUGCCGGCGCCCUUCUCGAGGUGGCCGAACCGCCGGUUGUCGACAGAGGUCACCAUUAAAGCAGACACACCUCCCGACAGAUGGAUGAACAGAGGGGGCGAGUCUUCGUCGGUGAGGUGUAAAGGAUAGCUGCAGAUUUAUAAACCAGGUGGAAGGAAGGCCGGGUGAGAGGAGACGAACCUCGGCCAUAAACUACUAGCCGGGGACGACGUGUUCCUCUCACGGCCUGUGCCGGGCAUCGCCGGCGGGCCCGCCGGCACGUCCUGUUCCCUCGGAUUUCCAACACGAACAGCUCCCAGCGGUAGGGAAAGGCGAGGGGUCACCCCACCCCGCCGCCGCCCCCUCUCAAGUUGCAGGGGGUGGGCUGGGGAUGACGACGAAUGACGGAAAUUCCCGCUGCCCCAUUUGACCCUUCCCCCCACCCACCGCGGCGUUCGACGGCGGCGGCCUUGGGUUUACCGGUCAUGCGGCGGGGCACCGCUUGGCCUGGGCGGCCGUCGCGGCCCGCCCCUCCGUUAGGCCAAGGGGCGCGCCGACGGGAGCUUCCUGUGGGGGAAGCGGCGAGCGGGGCUCACAGCUUCUGCAGGGGUUGUCUCGUACCAGGAGGGUGCGUUGUUGGAGGACGGCUCUAUGGAUCGACGGAGGGCCAAGAGUCGGUCGUCUGAGGCUCGUCCCCGCCCUUUGGCGCGCCCGCCGGCCUGGCUCCCCAGCUCUAUCUCGCGCCGCGGUUUCCAGCGUCGGGUCCUAGUUUGGCUCCUGCCGAGCUAGAGAGAGAUAGAGAGAGAGAUAGAGAGAGAAAUAGAGAGAGAGAGAGAGAGAGAGAGAGAGAGAGAGAGA